This 541-nucleotide long non-coding RNA is filed under the name Androctonus crassicauda. The record is from RNAcentral. Lineage: Eukaryota; Metazoa; Arthropoda; Arachnida; Scorpiones; Buthidae.
AUCGAGUACACGAGGCGUCACAUUGCGUCACUCUCCUACGUACUACCGAAUUAGUAAGAAGGAGAGUGAAGUGUGGUGACGCAUUGUCAAUUCGAUGUUGAUUGGCUGGCGUUAAGGGGUUAUAAUUCGAAAACGGUGCCAUUUUGGACCAUAUGUUCAUUAGACAUUUUCGACUUGUUUCUUUCCUAUCACUACAGGGGAUUUUACGAGGAAGUUUUUCUUCAUCCUGUAUGUCCUUAUGCAAUUUAUUUUUUAAUAUAAACUUAAGUGCUCUAAUUGCGAUUUAUUUGUUAUUUUGUAAAUAUUCCAGGAAAGUAAGUCCGAAUAAUCGGGAAUCUACUGUAAAUCAAUGGGAAUAAAGCUCUUUUUAAUUCACUUUUAUUCAGAAAAGAGAGUGGUAAAUUUAUUAAAGAUUAUUGGCGAACAUUGAAGUACUCUCCCAUUAGCAAUCUCCAUUUAGAAAGCAAUUUAAAUAAUCAAAGGAAAAGAUGCUAUCUCUAAAUUCCUUCGCAAUUUAUAAACAAAGAAUAUUUUUGUUAAC